GGCAAAACAUCCGGGCCCGCCUCGCUGGGCAGGGCAGAGAGCGCUGUUGGCUGAGAGCGAGCGGCGCCGGCGCCGCCACCACCACCAGAAUGCAGGGCCGACGCCGAUGUGUGCCCAAGCUCGGGAGAGGAAGGGUUAAAAUUCCUAGGUCCUCCUUAAGACCUGCAGCUCCCUGGAGAAAGGGAAUAUUUAUUAAACCAGUCUAGAACUUAGACGUAACACCAUUGAUCUGACUGGGCCUCACUUCCAAGUAAAUGGGCAUGGGCUGUAAGUCUGUGGUGUAGGUAUGCCUCAGUUCUGAGGCUGAGUUUCUGCAAUGUUUAUUGGCGGAUCGGGAUCCUCGGAUUACUGCAAAGGUCACCUUAUUCUGUGUAGCCGCUAUGGUUCGCAGAAAGGAACUGUGCGCUGCCAACCAGCCUGACUCCCUUCCACCCUGAUUCUUUUAUGACAUUCCUGGACUAGUUUUUAAUCAGCCCUUGCUGUAAUUUUGCAUUUUAUUGUUAUUCCGAUAUUCAGCUGAUUGUAUUGUAUUUGUAUUGCUGAUCCUCGAUCGUAAUAAAGACAUGUAUGUAUACAUCAGGACAA
Molecule: long non-coding RNA, 585 nt
Organism: Rhineura floridana
Lineage: Eukaryota; Metazoa; Chordata; Lepidosauria; Squamata; Rhineuridae
Exons: 3
Source: RefSeq, a predicted model, not a curated record